Molecule: long non-coding RNA, 1026 nt
Filed under: Chrysolophus pictus (golden pheasant)
Lineage: Eukaryota; Metazoa; Chordata; Aves; Galliformes; Phasianidae
Description: lncRNA (ENSCPIG00010012236.1)
Source: RNAcentral
UGAAGGUCUCACGAAGGUGCUGCUGGCUGUGCCAGCUCACAUACGUGGAUCUACUUGAGACAGUCUAUCUCUGCUGUAUGUCAAAGGCAAAAUGACAACUUGUCUCAUUAGUCUGAAUUCUGAAGGCUUUUGUGGUCACUGAGUGCUGCAGCCAGUUCUUGCUGCCAUCAGGCCACAAGUGGGGCGCAGGCUUGUGAAUGCUCAUAGCUUGCUUUUUCUUUUGACAGAAAUGGCUCAGGAAGAGAUGGAAGUUGAUCUCCAACCAGUGGUGAACUAUUCCCUGGAGAACCAGGGGAUGCUUCCUGCAGAGCCCACUGCUCACACGGCGCUGUCCUCCCAGGCUCCUGCGCUGAGCAGCGGAGGAGGCAACACUAUCGUUCUUUCCGACGACGAUGAAGUCGUUACCCUAUCGACUACUAAUGCCACAAGGGAAGCAGCUGCUGAUCCUGACCAGCAGGCGAAUCCUCCCUCAGCUCUCAUCGGGCUGCUGAGGCUGCAGGGGGCGUCUGACCAGCACCUGCUGCUGCCUGGGCCACAGAUUGUGCAGCGCCCGCGGGUACGAAGGAGUGCUCGCAGGCAGCCGAGAGUCGGUGGUUCCCAGAGGAUAGUCAGUGCCAGGGCAGCGUUGGACACAUACUUUCAGAUCAGCAGGACACAGGAGCCAGCUAGAAUACCAGGUUCACAUCUGGAGCCCUCACAUACUGUGGGGAGCAGCCAGGAGCACACAUCACAGGUCACAGAAUUGCAGUUGAGUGACUCCGACAGCAGCACUUCUGAGGAGGAGGAAGAGGUGGAGACUGCAGCACCGCUGCCUUCAGCAGCCCAGCAGACACCUGCAGCAGCUAGCUCAGUUUCCAGUCAGGAUCAAGCAGAGCUGCCUCAAACUCUGCCUCAAGUUUCUGUGGAACAUGGAAAUCGUGAGGAUGAAGAAUCUGAAGCCCAGCAAAAGCAGAGAACUCCACUGAAGAAACAGGAAGCACCAAUUCCCCAUAACUAUUACAGUUACUUGUUCUACAAAGAAACCAC